UCGGGAUAGCUCACCUGGUAAAGCAGAGGACUGAAAAUC
RNAcentral lists this transfer RNA (39 nucleotides) under Eperua schomburgkiana. Its description in RNAcentral is "partial tRNA-Phe". The record is from RNAcentral. Lineage: Eukaryota; Viridiplantae; Streptophyta; Magnoliopsida; Fabales; Fabaceae.